RNAcentral lists this ribosomal RNA (484 nucleotides) under uncultured bacterium. Its description in RNAcentral is "bacterial SSU rRNA". It matches the Rfam family "Bacterial small subunit ribosomal RNA", at positions 28 to 475 of the family's 1533-position model. The record is from RNAcentral.
GAUGAACGCUGGCGGCGUGCCUAAUACAUGCAAGUCGAACGCAUUGUGGUUGAAAUGAUAUGAAGAACUUGUUCAGAUUUGAUUUUCAACAUUGCAAUGAGUGGCGAACGGGUGAGUAACACGUGGGAAACCUACCUCUUAGCAGGGGAUAACAUUUGGAACAAAUGCUAAUACCGUAUAAUAAUUAAAACCGCAUGGUUUUAGUUUAAAAGAUGGUCUUGCUAUCACUAAGAGAUGGUCCCGCGGUGUAUUAGUUAGUUGGUGAGGUAAUGGCUCACCAAGACAAUGAUACAUAGCCGAGUUGAGAGACUGACCGGCCACAAUGGGACUGAGACACGGCCCAUACUCCUACGGGAGGCAGCAGUAGGGAAUCUUCCACAAUGGACGAAAGUCUGAUGGAGCAACGCCGCGUGUGUGAUGAAGGUUUCGGCUCGUAAAACACUGUUGUAAGAGAAGAAUGACAUUGAGAGUAACUGUUCAAUGU